RNAcentral lists this transfer RNA (84 nucleotides) under uncultured Acidaminococcus sp. It matches the Rfam family "tRNA". Rfam says of the family: Transfer RNA (tRNA) molecules are approximately 80 nucleotides in length. Lineage: Bacteria; Bacillati; Bacillota; Negativicutes; Acidaminococcales; Acidaminococcaceae. The record is from RNAcentral.
GAGGGGUGGCCGAGUGGUUUAAGGCACCAGUCUUGAAAACUGGCGAUUCCGCAAGGGACCGUGGGUUCGAAUCCCACCUCCUCC